AUUCAGAGAAACCCUGGAAUAAAAAAAAUGGGCAAUCCUGAGCCAACUCCUCCUUUCCAAAAGGAAGAAUUAAAAAAGGAUAGGUGCAGAGACUCAAUGGAAGCUGUUCUAACAAAUGGAGUUGAGGAUCUUGCGUUAUUAGUUAUUAUAAGAAUUCUCCAUCGAACUCCAAAAAGAAUGAAGAAUCAAGUUAUACGCAGACAUAUUAAAUAGAAAUAUAUAAAAUAUUAUAUAUAUAUAAAAAUUAAAAAUAAAUAAAUAUAUAUAAAUUAAAAAAUAUUGAUGACGACCCGCAUUUUUUAUGACUAUUUUUUAUGACUAUGAAAAGAUGGAAGAAUUGUUGUGAAGCGAUUCCAAUAGAUCUUUUGAAGAUCCAUCGGAUGAGAAUGAAGAUAGAGUCCCAUUCUACGUGUCAAUCCCGACACCAAUGAAAUUUAUAGUAAGAGGA
Molecule: precursor RNA, 448 nt
Filed under: Rumex hastatulus
Lineage: Eukaryota; Viridiplantae; Streptophyta; Magnoliopsida; Caryophyllales; Polygonaceae
Description: partial transfer RNA-Leu
Rfam family: Group I catalytic intron (bases 1-105)
Source: RNAcentral